This 497-nucleotide ribosomal RNA is filed under the name uncultured bacterium. Its description in RNAcentral is "partial 16S ribosomal RNA". It matches the Rfam family "Bacterial small subunit ribosomal RNA", at positions 28 to 507 of the family's 1533-position model. The record is from RNAcentral.
GAUGAACGCUGGCGGCGUGCCUAAUACAUGCAAGUCGAGCGAACGGACGAGAAGCUUGCUUCUCUGAUGUUAGCGGCGGACGGGUGAGUAACACGUGGAUAACCUACCUAUAAGACUGGGAUAACUUCGGGAAACCGGAGCUAAUACCGGAUAAUAUUUUGAACCGCAUGGUUCAAAAGUGAAAGACGGUCUUGCUGUCACUUAUAGAUGGAUCCGCGCUGCAUUAGCUAGUUGGUAAGGUAACGGCUUACCAAGGCAACGAUGCAUAGCCGACCUGAGAGGGUGAUCGGCCACACGGGAACUGAGACACGGUCCAGACUCCUACGGGAGGCAGCAGUAGGGAAUCUUCCGCAAUGGGCGAAAGCAUGACGGAGCAACGCCGCGUGAGUGAUGAAGGUCUUCGGAUCGUAAAACUCUGUUAUGAGGGAAGAACAUAUGUGUAAGUAACUGUGCACAUCGUGACGGUACCUAAUCAGAAAGCCACGGCUAACUACGUG